Molecule: ribosomal RNA, 383 nt
Filed under: uncultured eukaryote
Lineage: Eukaryota
Description: partial 18S ribosomal RNA
Rfam family: Eukaryotic small subunit ribosomal RNA
Source: RNAcentral
CAAUAGCGUAUAUUAAAGUUGUUGCAGUUAAAAAGCUCGUAGUUGGAUUUCUGGUGGGAGCGAUCGGUCUGGCGCUUAGCGCGAGUACUUGCAUCGUCUCCGGCCAUCCUUGGGGAGAGUCUGUCUGGCAUUAAGUUGUCGGGCAGAGGAUCCUCAUCGUUUACUGUGAAAAAAUUAGAGUGUUCAAAGCAGGCUUAUGCCGUUGAAUAUAUUAGCAUGGAAUAAUAAGAUAGGACUUUGGUACUAUUUUGUUGGUUUGCGCACCAAAGUAAUGAUUAAUAGGGACAGUUGGGGGUAUUCGUAUUCCGUUGUCAGAGGUGAAAUUCUUGGAUUUACGGAAGACGAACUACUGCGAAAGCAUUUACCAAGGAUGUUUUCGUUAA